GUUCGUUGAAAAUUUCGCACUCUAUUUUAAGAUCACUUUAUCUCUCUCACACUUUCUCUCUGAAAAACCCCUCAUUUUCCCCUUUCUCUCUCACACACUCACGCACUUCUUACUUUCUCUCUCUUCAAAGCGAAAAAGCUCAUCCCCCAUUUCUCUCGCCCGACUCAAAAACCCUAGAAUUUGCCCAAUUUUGAACGAUCGAUUUUCAGCUCCAUUUUUCACGCGCGCAAGAUUCACGACAUUUUGAGGCUGGAAAAUUGAUUGCGGAUUGAUGCUUGGGUUUGGACAACAGUCAUGAAGCUUUAUUUUUUAUUUUGAUGAAUUAUUUGCUGCAACAUAAGCAGAGUAAUAGAGAAGUAUUCUUGAAACUCUUGUUAGAUCAUUAUUUUGUUGAUUUACGCCGAGCACACUAAGUGCGAGGAUUUUGGGUUCUAAUCAUCUAUGCCUGGCAACGAAGUUGGAGAUAGAGUUCACAAUUUUUUUGCACAAGAUAAUUUGCCCCAGGGACAGAAUCAUACACAAGCUCUGGACGGGAAUUGGUCUGUCUUAAGUAGUAAUUUGUGGCCUGGAAGCCAGAGACAAGUUGGUCUAAUAAGUACCACCACAAAAAACUACAAUCUACAGCAAUCAGGUAGUGAUAGAGGACAGGUUGGUAACCCAUUCCAUGGAUCACAUGGCUUGACCUUUGCUCAAUCAUCUCCAAGGCCUGAAUUUGGUAAGAGUCAGACGCAAAGCCAUCAACCAAACUUCAAUGUCAUGUAUGGCAAUCAGUUCUACCAGACGAGGCAAGAUGAAACAAAUUUUCUGUCAAUGGAUACAAGUUCCGAUCAGCGUAAUCUAACCUCGAGAACUAUAGGAUCACAACAAGUCAGUGCUCCUGAAAAUCAAGGAAAAUCUUCAGUUAGGUCCGAUACGUCUGGACCCCCUGUAGGUUUUGACUUUUUUGGUGGUCAACAGCAGAUGAACCAUCAGCAAUUAAGUAUGCUGCAGUCUUUGCAGCAUCAGUCGCCUGGGCCAAAUGAUAUCCAAGUGCAGCAAUUUAUGCUCAUGAGGAUGCAGGAGCUUCAAAGGCAGCAGCAACUUCAGCAAAUGGAUGCAAGGCAGCAGGGUCUACUUAAUCAGAUGCCUCCCUUUGCCAAACAGUCAUCUGGUAGCCAACCCACUCCUCUGAUUAGCAGUGCUGUCAACUCUGAUGCAUUGGGUUACCAUUGGGCAAGUGAGUUUGGUAAUGCAAACUGGGUGCAGCAGCAUCCACCAGCUAUGCAAGGAUCCUCAAAUGGACUUGUUUUUUCACCCAAUCAAGGUCAGACACAGCGAAUGGUAGAUUUAGUUCCUCAACAGGUUGAACAAUCUCUUUAUGGAGUUCCUAUAUCUAGCUCCAGAGGCAGUCUAAAUCAAUAUCCUCAGAUGGUGACAGAAAAACCUUCAGCUCAGCAACAAGUAAGCUUUGGUAACUCUCUUCCUGGUAACCAGUAUACAGCAUUUCCUGGUCAAGUUAGUAUGCAGGAUAGGAAUUCGAUUGCUAGGCAGAGAUUUCAAGCUGAAAAUUCUUUUGGACAUGGUUCUGGUCAAGCUUUAGGUAGUGGAAUAGAUAUGGAGAAUGUCCACCAAGCGAACUCCAUGCAGAGAAAUGAACAGACAGGGGAAUUCCGUCGGAGGCAGGAACAACUGGUUCCACCUGAGACCCUGCAGGGAAAAACAGAGAGACAAGAUAUUGCUUCAAGGGAUGAUGUUACCUUAGAUCCUACAGAAGAGCGGAUUUUGUAUGGUUCAGAUGAUAUCUGGGCUGCCUUUGGAAAGGGCCCUAACAUGGGGGCAGAGGGCUCUAAUCCGUUCGAUGGUGCAGGAUUGAGUGGAUUUUCUUCCAUUCAAAGUGGCACUUGGAGUGCUCUUAUGCAGUCUGCUGUUGCAGAAACUUCUGGUAGUGACACUGGGUUACAAGAAGAAUGGAGUGGUUUAACGUUUCAAAAUAAUGAUAUUCCUUCAGGGAAUCAGCAUGUACUGUCAUGUGAUGAUGGUAGGAAGCUGCAGACACCUUUGGCCAAUGACCAUUUGCCCAUGGCAUCAUCUUUUGCUUCGGGAACCGCUCCUCCAUCAGGUGACUCAAACGUGGUGAAAAACUAUCAGAAUGCCCUGGGAUUCCAGCAAUUUGAACGCAAAUUUUCAUAUGAAACUGCUCAAAGACUGCAGGCAAAUCCUUCUCAAGGACUUGAUCAGUCCUCUGCAGAUGGUGGAAGGUGGUCAAAUGGUAUUCCAGUUCUGAAGUCUGGUGCUGAAGGGAGUCAAUUGCAUGGAAAUCUAUCUCAUUCUCUUGAUGCUGAGAGCAGUGCAUCUAGACAACUGUUAAAUAAACCAAACGGCUGGAAUGUUUUUGGGUCCGUAGCACCCUAUGAAGAUGCGGGAGUAACUGUUCAAGGGACUGAAAACUCACUGCAACAUUCUCAAAGCAAUGAUCAUAAGCAAACUAUGCAUAGGGAAGUGGUUGAUGGUGGAGCCCUGUUUAACUCUCAUUCUGGUCGUGAUGCAGCAUCUGAAAUGGAGCAGGUAAAAUCUGCCUUGAGAAGUUCCCAAUUGAAUAAAGAGGGCUUUCGAUCAAAUAAUGCUGCUGCAUUAUCGGAUUCAAGUACCAUAAGGGCUGGUGAGGGAAGUAGUCAGUUUCUUCCGAACAGUUAUCAUCUCAAUUCUUGGAAAAAUGCUGAUCCAUUGGUUAAUUAUAAAGCUGGUGAAGUUCUAGGAGGUUCACAGCAUGGGAAUAAGAUUUGCUCUAGUAAGGAGGAAGGUAGAGGGCAUGAUAUGGAGAAUAGUGAUAAACAGGAGAACUCUAACGACAGCUACCGCUCUAAUAUGUCCCACCAUACUUCCGCUGGUGGUCAAAAGGAAAAUGCUGCUGCAGAUGCUAUUGAUUCAAGGACUUUGUCUGCUGGCAAUCAAAAGUCAUCCAAUCAAAUGGCUAGGAAAAAUCUGACUUCUCGGAAGUUUCAAUUUCAUCCCAUGGGAAACUUGGAUGAUGAUGUUGAACUUCCUUGUGGAUCAAAAAAGCCAAUCCAUUCACAGCCUGCCUCUCAUUUUGGGCAGUCAAAGUUAUUCAGUCAGGUGCCAAAAAAUUCAGUUGACACAGAAAAGGGGCAAUCAGCUGAUAUGCAAAGGAACAACAUAGGAUUUGAUGAGGUGCACUCCCCAGGCAACUUCCCCGGUUCAGUUCCUAAUAUAUCUUCUCCAUUCAACAGAUCUUUGGAUUUAGGCACACAAGACAAGACUUCUCAAUCGAGUCGAAACAUGCUAGAGCUACUUCACAAGGUUGAUCAGUCAAGGGAGCAUGCUGCUAUGAUGCAUGCCAUUGCUUCUGAGCCCAAUGCAGCAUCUGAGACAGCUCAAGCAGAAAACUCUGAUGGGUCUGUUAGUCGGCUUCAACGGAGCCAGUCUUCCAACUCUCAGGGCUUUGGUUUACAACUUGGUCCUCCAAUGCAACGGCUGCCAAUACCAAGCCAGUCCUUGUCCUCUCAAAACUCCCUGCAGGGCGUAAGCUCCUUGCUUCUAACCACCCAUGCGGCAUCUGAAAUUGGACAGAAGGGUCAAGCACCGUUGGUUCCCUCAUCUUUUGUUCAGUCUAUGCCUUCUUCCAGUGAAAGAUCGCUUGGAGAGAAUAAUAGAGCUGGAGUACCUAGUCAGACGGGCAGUCAAAGCUCCCCAUAUAAUAUGACUGGAAACUUCUCUUCACCGUUUAAUUCUGGUUUUCCUCAUUCAAGAGGUCAGCUACAAAUUCAAGAGAUUGCUUGGGCUAGUGGACGGUUGUCAAGAUCUAGUCAAUCUUUGGAGACCUCUUUUCCUAAUGAGGCUGCGAGCAUUCCUCAAGGUAACUCUGUUUUAUCAGGUACCAAGCAAAUCAGUACAAACAUUCUGCCUGGAAAAAUUCUAGCCACACAAGUUUCAGCUGGCAAGCCUGUACUUGUUUCUCAGCCUUCGACUGUGUCUAAUACUUCUCUGCAAGGCACCUCCUCUAAAGCAUUGCCAAAUAUGUGGAGCAAUGUCACUGCAGCACAACAUUUAUUGGGUGCUCAGUAUCGUAAGGUGUCUUCACAAUUUCCCCAGUCAAAUCAAAUGAAUGUUGGAAAUUUAACUUCUGCUUCUCUAAAUCAAUGUGAUCAAGAUGGUAAACAAGGAAACCUUCAAUCUGAGUUUGGUGCAAAUUGUGUGAAUGCACAAGGCUUCCGUUCUGAGGAAGAACAGCUUACAAAGGAACGUGCUAGCCAGCUACCUUCUUCAGAAAAUAUGAACCUUGUUCAGAAGAUGAAUGAAUCACAGGGAAAGGAACCCAUUGUAAGGACUUUAUCAGAUGGAUCUCCUGCAAAUUCUGUGUCAACGCAAAGAGAUAUUGAAGCCUUUGGCCGGUCUCUGAAACCAAAUAACUUGCUUCAGCAAAAUUAUUCAUUGUUGAACCAAAUGCAGGCCAUGAAGAGUGCAGACGACGAUCCAAGCACUAGGGUCUUGAAAAGAAUGAAAGGAUCAGAUAAUGGUCUAGGUGGUCAGCUUGUACCUCCUAUAGCUGGGCAAUCAAAUGAUCUCACUGCUGUCGUUGGAGAUGCAUUAGUUCCCCGGAAGACACUUCCUUCUGUAGAUCCUACCAUGCUGAGCUUCUCAGCACCUGAAAAUAGUAUGGAAAGGAAUCUUGCUUCUGAACAUGGUAAUAUAGCGUCUCAGAGUGUGCUUGCAUUUAGUCGAGAUGGUUCUCAGAGCAGUAAUAGUGCUGCCUCGACCAAAAUUGACCACUCUAAGAUCAGUCCCCAGAUGGCUCCUUCCUGGUUUAAUCAGUAUGGAACCUUCAAAAAUGGGCAGAUCUUGCCUAUGUAUGAUGCACGCAAACCUGCCAUUUUUAAGACUGGGGAACAGCCUUACACUCUUGGAAAAUCUUCCAGUGGCUUGCACACCCUCAAUUCAAUGGAGCCAUCGAGUGCUGCUGCUGUGGAAACGAAUCAAGUUGGUAGCAUCAGGCAUACAGCAACCCCCUCACUAGCAGCCGAGUAUUUAUCUUCUCAGAUUUUGCCUUCCAUUGCCAGUGGUCAGCAUCCAGUAAUAUCGAAAACCAAGAAGCGCAAGAGUGCCACUUAUGAACUUAAUCCCUGGCACAAAGAAGUGUCACAAGGUUCCCGAUGUCUUAAAAAUAUCAGCAUGGCAGAGAUUGGGUGGGCUAAAGCAGCAAACCGACUUGUUGACAAGGUUGAAGAUGAUGUUGAAUUGAUGGAAGAUGGAUCACUGAUGCUUAAACCAAAAAGAAGGCUUAUCUUGACAACACAGCUUAUGCAAAAAUUACUUCGCCCUCCACCAGCAGCAAUACUGUCUCUGGAUGCUAAUUUAGAGUAUGAGAGUGUGGGUUACUCGAUUUCGAGAUUAGCAUUAGGUGAUGCAUGCAGUCUUGUCUCACUCACAAAUGACAAGUCCAAUAUGCUACGUGAUAGCAUAAACAGGUAAUAACUUUUUUUUUUUUUAAUGCUAUGCUAGUUUUUUAGUCACAUGAGUGACAUAACAGCAGUUGUUGAUUAUUCGCCAUUUUAUUGUAUUUCUGAUGGCUUCAAUUUCAAAUGACUCUCUAGGGAUAUUGAUGAAUGCAGAACAUCAGAAAGCGUUGAAGAUCAGCUUCUGUUGAAAGUCAUGGAUGAUUUCACAGCAAGAGCAAGAAGGCUUGAAGAUGAAUUUUUGCGGUUGGACAAGAGAGUGUCAGUUUUGGACUUGGUAGUGGAAUGUCAAGAUCUAGAGAAGUUCUCGGUGAUUAAUCGUUUUGCUAAAUUCCAUGGACGAGGGCAGGCUGACAAUAAUGAGGCUGCAUCUUCGUCUAAUGCAGCUGCUAAUACUCAGAAACCCCAUCCUCAGAGAUAUGUUACUGCUCUUCCUUUGCCUAGGAAUCUCCCCACCAGAGUACAAUGUUGUUCAUUAUGAUUAUUAAUUAAAAUUUCCCCUUUUUCUGGCUGUCUCCUCACAUCCUCGCAUCCUUGGUACAUUUCGUGCUGGCUGUACACUGGCACUUGCACCAACACAGAAAAAGACAAUGAGAUUGCUGAAAGGAAGAGUGAAAGUACUAAAUUUGUCUCUUUGAAUGCGAUGUCAUUAUUGCGCAAUUGUACUUUGUAUUGGAUGCUUCUGGUGUUGGAAGAAGGUAGCUGCGGUUCUAUUUAAGAGUUGAUUAAUUGACUCAAUUGACAAAUUUGGCAGUAGUGAAGAUUUGUGUGUCUAUUGUGAGGAUCUACAAAGCUGCUAUUUGAGGUGGGUUUGAGAUUGACAUCUCUCAUUUUAAGCUUGUGGCACAUAUAUGUUGUACUGAAUGUUGGCCAUCUAUUGUCUCCUGAUUACUUUGUGAAUUAGAGGAUGCUGACUUCUUUACUCGAUACAGUCUGUUUUGUGUUUAAUGAGGCUGCAUGGAAACUGGUUGUAAAUUAGUCAUGGAAGUGUGUGCUUAAAUUGAAGUUUUAGAAUUAGAACCAUAGUUUCCCUAAACUGGGAUGAAUCCAAAUAGUUUACAGUUCCUCACUUCUCAAUCCCCAACUUCAUCCAAGUUUAUUUUCAUUA
Molecule: non-coding RNA, 6558 nt
Organism: Coffea arabica (coffee)
Lineage: Eukaryota; Viridiplantae; Streptophyta; Magnoliopsida; Gentianales; Rubiaceae
Source: RefSeq, a predicted model, not a curated record